This 88-nucleotide transfer RNA is filed under the name Colletotrichum gloeosporioides. It matches the Rfam family "tRNA". From Rfam's summary of the family: Transfer RNA (tRNA) molecules are approximately 80 nucleotides in length. Lineage: Eukaryota; Fungi; Ascomycota; Sordariomycetes; Glomerellales; Glomerellaceae. RNAcentral also lists the same sequence under 1 other name. The record is from Rfam by way of RNAcentral.
GCGUUCUUAGUGUAGCGGUUAUCAUCCAAGCCUUCCAUUCGAGAAAUCGAGACAGCUUGGGACAGGGGUUCGACUCCCCUAGGACGCA